Molecule: long non-coding RNA, 283 nt
Filed under: Capsella rubella
Lineage: Eukaryota; Viridiplantae; Streptophyta; Magnoliopsida; Brassicales; Brassicaceae
Description: long non-coding RNA (CRUB_LNC002560)
Source: RNAcentral
UUGUCUUUUUUUUUUUUUUUUGAACCAGAAACUACAAUCAAACUGAUCAUAAUCUAUUAGAAGGACCCAAACAGACUUGUUUAAAACCCUGCAGAGAGGUGCGAGCUUUUCGCGCCAAAGAAUCUGCCAUGCCAUUCAAGCUGCGUGGUAUAAGCGAGAGAGAGAAAGUUGAGAAUUCUUCCCUAUCAAUGUUGAUAUCGUCAAGGUAAACAGAGAACGCCGGCCACUCGGACGGAGAAGACACCAUCUUCACCAAAUCUGAACAGUCCGUCAGGAACAUAAC